RNAcentral lists this ribosomal RNA (467 nucleotides) under uncultured bacterium. Its description in RNAcentral is "partial 16S ribosomal RNA". It matches the Rfam family "Bacterial small subunit ribosomal RNA", at positions 28 to 507 of the family's 1533-position model. The record is from RNAcentral.
GACGAACGCUGGCGGCGUGCUUAACACAUGCAAGUCGAACGGAAAGGCCUCUUUCGGGGGGUACUCGCGUGGCGAACGGGUGAGUAACACGUGCGUAACCUGCCCUUGUCUUUGGGAUAGCUUCCUGAGACUGGGGCUAAUACCUGAUAGGAGCUCCUGCUGCAUGGUGGGGGUUGGAAAGUUUCGGCGGUUUGGGAUGGACUCGCGGCUUAUCCGCUUGUCGUUGGGUUAGUGGCUUACCAAGGCUUUGACGGGUCGCCGGACUGAGGGAGUGACAGGCGGCACUGAGACUGAGGGGCGGCACAGAUAGCUACGGGACGGAGAAGUGGGGAAGACUGACGGAGGGGUGGAGGGUUGGUGAAGCAGCGCUGUGGGCGGGAUGACGGUGUUAGGGUUGUAGAACGCUUUUGCUAGUGACGAAGCAUGGUGUGACGGUAGUGGGUAAAGAAGCAACGGCUAACUACGUG